UUGGAGUCUUUGCUCCCCCACAAAACUAAAUAGGCCCCAAACAAGGGCUUCUCGUGUCGUCCACUUGGAUUGUCCAUAUGGUGUCGACCCAGUCCAUAUAGAUGGGCAUAUUCAAGCUCAGAAAAGUUGUAUUUUGAUUAGGAGUUUGUUUUAGAACCUGUUUCUUGAUUCAGAUUUGGUUCCAUAACCUCCAUUAUCUCCCUAUCUUUUUUGAAUAUCCCAAACUACUAUACUAGCUUGUUUAGGACUUCCUAGGAGUACUGGUACUACUCUUAUGGAGCAGAUUGAAUUCGUCAUUACAUAACUUGAAAGGUUUAUGAUUCCCAUGUUUGAUGAACAUUUGGAUCUAGUGGUGAGCAAUCUAGUAAACUAGAUUAAUUUUUGUAGUGCUGUUUAAUUGAUACCAGAAAUGCCAAUUAGUUAACUACAACAAGAAAUGCUUAGCUUUAGAUGCCGAGACAAAAAAAAAAGUUAUUGAUUUUACAUUUAUUAACUUACGGAAGUUUUAUCAUUUAGGGAAUGAAAUGUUCUUAAGUACUUGUCAAUUUCAAGUUAAUAAUCAUCAUAUUGAAACCACUAGUUGGUUUUAAUUUUAUGCCUUAGACAUGGAGUAAAAAUGGCUCAAAUUAAUAUGAGACUGAGUAUGCCUUAGACAUGGAGUAAAAAUGACUCAAAUUAAUAUGAGACUGCAUAUUCUGUGGAACGAGGUUGUUAACAUUUUAAAGGUAUACAAAGAGGUGAGAAGCAAACGCAAAACACUCCAUGUCUAUUUUAAGUCACUAAUGUUUUUUAGUCCACUCAAACAACCAAAGGCUAAAGCUGAUGCAUGGUGGAUUGGACAAGGUAGAUAAACUACCUGUUGAGGUUCUGAGUUGUAAUGAUUGCUAUUUAGACCAAGUAAGGAAAAAUAGAUUCUGUCUUUUCUUUUUGUAUUUAUGCUUAAUCAUGCUACUUCCAAUCUGGACUUGAUAUUAUUUAGGCCAUAGAAAUUGUUGCUACAACAACAACAACGAAGCCGAAAGCAACAUAGAAAUUAUUGCUAGAUUACUCUUAAUUGCAUCACAUGUAUGUGAUUUCAAAUAAGUGACUCCAGGUGUGUUUUGAAAUAUGACAAAGCCAACAAGUACAAGAAAUAUUAAAUCUGCAUAUUGGAGGAUUGCAUCAUGUCUCCUGUUUUUGGAAUAUGCAGUCAAAUGCAGCAAGUCUUAGCGAAAGAAUCUACGGAUUAUAUCAUGUGUAGUUCAUACUUAAAAAGCAAGAUAGUAGAAUUUUCCUUGUGGUGAACUGCAGAUCAUUGUUCUAUUAUAUUUUGUGUGGUCAACUAAGAUAAAGCGACGAGGUUGGACAAAAUCUGCAUUUCAUUGUAGGGAAUAAAGCUUGUUUGUCAAGGACUUAUUUCCAGGAUGUAAAAAUUACAUAAGUGCAGGCUCUUCAGUUUUUGAAGUUAAUUU
This 1451-nucleotide long non-coding RNA is filed under the name Musa acuminata (dwarf banana). Its description in RNAcentral is "long non-coding RNA (MACU_LNC000713)". The record is from RNAcentral. Lineage: Eukaryota; Viridiplantae; Streptophyta; Magnoliopsida; Zingiberales; Musaceae.